Molecule: long non-coding RNA, 309 nt
Organism: Alosa sapidissima (American shad)
Lineage: Eukaryota; Metazoa; Chordata; Actinopteri; Clupeiformes; Clupeidae
Exons: 3
Source: RefSeq, a predicted model, not a curated record
UAGCCUUCUCACAACAGCAACAAACAGUAACACCUCUGUUAAGGAGAAUAUUGCAACUAGUUCCGCGACCACCACGUGUGAAAAGGUUCGGCACUCCCGUGACGUCACAUUGUCGCAUGACAGGUCGGGAAUGGCGAGUGCAGUCAGCGAUCAUACGCAAUUUCAAGCCCAGAACAUUUUUGUCACAUUCAACCAUCAUCUCCUCGCAAUCUGCUGGCUGUCCAUUUUAAGAGCACCAGUCCACUAAAGAUGACAGAUGACAACCAAAACUUUAAACAACUGAUUAUAGACUGCAGUUUCAGAAUAAAU